RNAcentral lists this ribosomal RNA (424 nucleotides) under uncultured bacterium. Its description in RNAcentral is "bacterial SSU rRNA". It matches the Rfam family "Bacterial small subunit ribosomal RNA", at positions 355 to 776 of the family's 1533-position model. The record is from RNAcentral.
UGAGGAAUAUUGGACAAUGGAGGCAACUCUGAUCCAGCCAUGCCGCGUGCAGGAUGACUGCCCUAUGGGUUGUAAACUGCUUUUAUAUAGGAAGAAACCUUUCCAUGCGUGGGAAUUUGACGGUACUAUAUGAAUAAGCACCGGCUAACUCCGUGCCAGCAGCCGCGGUAAUACGGAGGGUGCAAGCGUUAUCCGGAAUCAUUGGGUUUAAAGGGUCCGUAGGCGGGCUAAUAAGUCAGAGGUGAAAUCCCACAGCUUAACUGUGGCACUGCCUUUGAUACUGUUAGUCUUGAGUCAUUUGGAAGUAGAUAGAAUGUGUAGUGUAGCGGUGAAAUGCAUAGAUAUUACACAGAAUACCGAUUGCGAAGGCAGUCUACUACGAAUGUACUGACGCUGAUGGACGAAAGCGUGGGUAGCGAACAGG